CCACUUAUUUGGAUUGUUACAUCUUUGAGUCACAAAUAUAGAGUCUACUCUAUAUAUCGUACGAACAAGCGUGGACAUAUCAUGCAAGUAAAGACAACAAGGAGUAUUUUCAUGGUCGUGGAAAAAGAUUCGACCACCAGGAGUCCACUUUGAACGGAGAAAGGACCUGUUUACUUCCCUUUGACGAGGAAAAAACAGAGACUGAUGGAGCUUCAUACAGGAAAACCGAACCUCUGGAACAGAUGAAAAGAGGGAUGGCCGCCCCAGCAUCACUUGAUAGCGACACAUAAAUCAAUGAUUGCACUGCCUGAUUUGAUGGCCAGACUCCCUCUUUCACAGGGUGGGAACUCAGACCCGAGAGCAGCAUGGACAUUUCCUUUCUCAGUUUAUCUUCUCACGUCUGACUCUGACUCUAAUAUUAGACCGCUCACAGAUCCAUCAGUGCUGCUCCACGUGCUACUGUUCAAAUCACAGGCUAGCAGAGAUAAUGCAGUGAACAGUUUAAAUCACUGUGUUUGCUUGAAUGCCUGUCCUGCAGAUGAGU
This is a long non-coding RNA of Carassius auratus (goldfish), 544 nucleotides long. RefSeq lists it as uncharacterized. The transcript is spliced from 3 exons. The record is from RefSeq and is a predicted model, not a curated record. Lineage: Eukaryota; Metazoa; Chordata; Actinopteri; Cypriniformes; Cyprinidae.